Molecule: ribosomal RNA, 460 nt
Filed under: uncultured bacterium
Lineage: Bacteria
Description: partial 16S ribosomal RNA
Rfam family: Bacterial small subunit ribosomal RNA
Source: RNAcentral
CCUACGGGAGGCUGCAGUGAGGAAUAUUGGUCAAUGGGCGGAAGCCUGAACCAGCCAAGUAGCGUGCAGGAUGACGGCCCUACGGGUUGUAAACUGCUUUUAUACGGGAAUAACGCGCCUUACGUGUAGGUCUUUGCAUGUACCGUAUGAAUAAGGACCGGCUAAUUCCGUGCCAGCAGCCGCGGUAAUACGGAAGGUCCGGGCGUUAUCCGGAUUUAUUGGGUUUAAAGGGAGCGUAGGCCGGAUGUCAAGUCUGCUGUGAAAUGUCCGGGCUCAACCCGGGCCUUGCAGCGCAAACUGGCGUGCUUGAGUGCGCGGGAAGCAGGCGGAAUUCGUGGUGUAGCGGUGAAAUGCUUAGAUAUGACGAAGAACCCCGAUUGCGAAGGCAGCUUGCUGCAGCGGAACUGACGCUGAUGCUCGAAAGCGCGGGUAUCGAACAGGAUUAGAUACCCCGGUAGUC